AUGGCCGACGCCCGCCUCCUUGUCGGCAACUGCGUGGCCGAGCACGAAUUCAAGGCGGCCGACACUUGGGACAACGUCUGUGUGGAGGUCAUCCCGGGGAAGCGGCGCAUAGACCUGUACCUGAAUCAUGAUUCCCAGAGGUACAUGCUUGAGGUGUUCUUCGAGGACAUCAGGGAUUGUCUCCAGUGCAGCUUCGAUGGGACCGGUGUCAUAUUGCUUCAGCUCAUGUAUGCACCAAGGAUAUGCACAAUAGUUUCUGGGCCUGCAGUUUAUUCAAGGUUCUCAGAUGACCGCUUUCAUGCAUGCAAGGAGGAUGCAAAAUUUACCUGGGUCAGAGCACUAGAUUUUACACCCAACCACUCUUUUGGGAAGUGUUCAACUCUUGCCCUCGUACUUGAUGAAGGUGCACCGGUGUCAUUUAUUCUCAACAGCUUGCCUUUGUCAGGAGAAUUAGGGGAAUUGGUCAUUUCUUCAAUGGAAUUUUUUGGCCCGUCGUCCAAAGUCGUUCCCCUUGUUGACUGCCCAAGUGGUUGUUCAGUGUCAUAUGAAGUUCUUUUUCGUCUCAAUUCUCUUGUUCACAUGGGGAAGAUAGUUGCCAAGGAUGUUAAUGCUGAUCUGUUUAAAGCUCUUGAAGAAAUACCAGUUCAUAUUUCAAGGAGGAUUUUUGAGAAAAUGAGCAAGUUAGACUUUACAUACUAUGAACCUUUGCAAUUCAUCCAACAGGAGGCUCAUAGCAGGAAGAGGAGCCAUGAUGGUUUGCUUUCUAGUAAGACUGAAGGUGAAGGAAAGUUAAUGAUGUGUUACAGAAUUCACAUCACUCCAUCCAAAAUAUACUGCUUGGGACCUGAGGAAGAAGUAUCAAAUUAUGUGGUUAAGCAUCACAAACAGUAUGCUUCUGACUUUGCUAGAGUUACUUUUGUAGACGAAGACUGGAGUAAGCUUUUUCCAGAUGCUAUCUCAGCUAGAACUGGACGAGGGUUCUUUUCUCAACCCUUGAAAACUGGCCUAUAUCAUCGUAUUUUAUCCAUCCUGAAAGAAGGAUUUUCCAUUGGUCCAAAGAAGUAUGAAUUCCUGGCCUUCUCAGCAAGUUAG
This 1092-nucleotide ribosomal RNA is filed under the name Triticum aestivum (bread wheat). Its description in RNAcentral is "partial small subunit ribosomal RNA". Lineage: Eukaryota; Viridiplantae; Streptophyta; Magnoliopsida; Poales; Poaceae. The record is from RNAcentral.